GAGGGCUUGGCCGAGUGGUUAAGGCGUCAGAUUUAGGUUUCUCAGUUUCUUCAAGCUGUUAAAAUACUCUGAUAUCUACGGAUGCGCGAGUUCGAAUCUCGUGGUCCUCA
The sequence is a transfer RNA, 110 nucleotides long. It matches the Rfam family "tRNA". From Rfam's summary of the family: Transfer RNA (tRNA) molecules are approximately 80 nucleotides in length. Their secondary structure includes four short double-helical elements and three loops (D, anti-codon, and T loops).